GGAAGCUUACAAACUGGUAAAGCUGAUCUUCCAAACAUCAGUAAGUAGGUUCGAUUCCUACAGCCUCCGCCA
Molecule: transfer RNA, 72 nt
Filed under: Cyanobacteria bacterium UBA11371
Lineage: Bacteria; Bacillati; Cyanobacteriota
Also listed under: 2 other names
Description: tRNA-Ser
Source: RNAcentral